CCCUGUGGCUCAGUUGGUAGAGCAUGGGGUUUGCAACGCCAGCAUGGUGUGUGCAACGCCAGGGUUGUGGGUUCGAUUCCCACUGGGG
This is a non-coding RNA of Salmo salar (Atlantic salmon), 88 nucleotides long. The record is from Rfam. NCBI's taxonomy places the organism in Eukaryota, Metazoa, Chordata, Actinopteri, Salmoniformes, Salmonidae.